UUUGGUAUCAGGAUACUGGCUUCAUAGAGUGUGUUAGGGAGGAUUCACAAAAGGUCACCUGUGACUACUGUGAACAUCUGUAUGCACACCAAC
Non-coding RNA from Microcebus murinus (gray mouse lemur), 93 nucleotides. The record is from RefSeq and is a predicted model, not a curated record. Lineage: Eukaryota; Metazoa; Chordata; Mammalia; Primates; Cheirogaleidae.